Molecule: long non-coding RNA, 1135 nt
Organism: Gigantopelta aegis
Lineage: Eukaryota; Metazoa; Mollusca; Gastropoda; Neomphalida; Peltospiridae
Exons: 2
Source: RefSeq, a predicted model, not a curated record
GGUACUAAAAUAAGAACCAUAUUAUAUUUUAGAACAUUUAUUGUAAAUACUUGGGUAAUUGAGAAUAUAUUGUUGAACUGUGUGUCAUAGCUUGCUAAGGCAAACUAUAUUUUUAUACUGUAAUCACUAGCAAAGGUGUUUGUAAAGAAUUUGGGCUUGGGCUUACAUUGGUGAACACUUUUGUUUGUGAGUGAAGGCAUGCAUAGUUGGGAUAUAGUUGGGAGAUGUAAUGAGUUGUGGGCAGUCACAUAACGUUCUUGAGAGAGAAACUGUGUGUUAAGAUAUUGUGAAAUAUUUUAUUCUGUAUAACUCUGGGUUGAUGACAACCUGUAUUUGUGUAUUGGGUCCUGGUGAUGACGAACGUAGAUGAUGUAUUCUGGGAGUUGGCGAAGAGUGAGUCUGGUGAAUGGCGGUGGUGAUAAUGGUGAACAGAGAAGAUGAUCAGUGAAUGAUCGUGACGACGGGGUCAUUGAUUUUGACGAACGGCGAGGGUGAUCUGAGUGACCCUGACAAAGAGUGUGGAUGAUUCUGGUGAAUUAUGGUGGUGAUAAUGGUGAACAGAGAAGAUGAUCAGUGAAUGAUCGUGACGACGGUGUCAGUGAUUUUGGCGAACGACGAAGGUGAUCUGUGAAUGAUCCUGACAAAGAGUGUUGAUGAUUCGGGUGAAUGAUGGUGGUAAUACUGGUGAAUGGAGGAGAUGAUCAGUGAAGGAUCGUGAUGAGGGUACCAAUGAUUAUGGUGAACGGAGAUGAUCAGUGAAUGACCGUGACGAGGGGGUUAGUGAUUCUGGUGAACGACAGGGGUAUUAAUGGUAAACGACAACGGUGAUCAGUGAAUGAUCAUUAUGAGAUGUGAUGAUUCUAGUGAAUGAUAAUAAUGAUAAUGGGGAAUGGUGAAGAUUAUCAGUGAAUGAUCAUGACAAGGGUGAUGAUGAGGGUGACUUCUGAUGAUGAAUUGUGAAAUGUGAUGAAUAGUGGAAGACAGACAUUUUAGUAUUAUUUUGUGGUUAAAAGAUUUUUACUCUAUUUAAUGUUGAUUCAUAGUUUAAUUUACAUGUGAUAUGUGUUACAUGCGUGAUAGUGCAAUAUGUAUUGGUUGGGAGGGAAGUGUUAUGUAAAUAAAUGUGUAUGAAUGA